GUCUUAAGUACUUAAAAUACAAAAUUGUAUCAAUUAUUACAAGUAUUUAUAUCUGUAAACUGAUAUAAUUUGAAUUACAACUUAUGAAUCACACUCUUUAUCAAAGCUAGCUAAAUUUAUGCAUGCGUGUAGAGCAGUGACCAGAUUAGCCACAUAGGUCCGCACUGACUUAUCAUGGAUGACACUGUCUGUAGGUCCGCACUGACUUAUCAUGGAUGACACUGUCUACAUAGGUCCGCACUGACUUAUCAUGGAUGACACUGUCUACAUAGGUCCACACUGACUUAUCAUGGAUGACACUGUCUACAUAGGUCCACACUGACUUAUCAUGGAUGACACUGUCUACAUAGGUCCACACUGACUUAUCAUGGAUGACACUGUCUACAUAGGUCCACACUGACUUAUCAUGGAUGACACUGUCUACAUAGGUCCACACUGACUUAUCAUGGAUGACACUGUCUACAUAGGUCCACACUGACUUAUCAUGGAUGACACUGUCUACAUAGGUCCACACUGACUUAUCAUGGAUGACACUGUCUACAUAGGUCCACACUGACUUAUCAUGGAUGACACUGUCUACAUAGGUCCACACUGACUUAUCAUGGAUGACACUGUCUACAUAGGUCCACACUGACUUAUCAUGGAUGACACUGUCUACAUAGGUCCACACUGACUUAUCAUGGAUGACACUGUCUACAUAGGUCCGCACUGACUUAUCAUGGAUGACACUGUCUACAUAGGUC
Molecule: long non-coding RNA, 743 nt
Organism: Dreissena polymorpha
Lineage: Eukaryota; Metazoa; Mollusca; Bivalvia; Myida; Dreissenidae
Exons: 3
Source: RefSeq, a predicted model, not a curated record